Molecule: unclassified non-coding RNA, 348 nt
Filed under: soil metagenome
Description: partial contains 5.8S ribosomal RNA, internal transcribed spacer 2, and large subunit ribosomal RNA
Rfam family: 5.8S ribosomal RNA (bases 1-120)
Source: RNAcentral
GAUGAAGAACGCAGCGAAAUGCGAUAAGUAAUGUGAAUUGCAGAAUUCAGUGAAUCAUCGAAUCUUUGAACGCACAUUGCGCCCGCCAGUAUUCUGGCGGGCAUGCCUGUCUGAGCGUCAUUUCAACCCUCAUGCCCCUAGGGCGUGGUGUUGGGGAUCGGCCAAAGCCCGCGAGGGACGGCCGGCCCCUAAAUCUAGUGGCGGACCCGUCGUGGCCUCCUCUGCGAAGUAGUGAUAUUCCGCAUCGGAGAGCGACGAGCCCCUGCCGUUAAACCCCCAACUUUCCAAGGUUGACCUCUGAUCAGGUAGGAAUACCCGCUGAACUUAAGCAUAUCAAUAAGCGGAGGA